RNAcentral lists this ribosomal RNA (253 nucleotides) under uncultured bacterium. RNAcentral describes it as "partial 16S ribosomal RNA". It matches the Rfam family "Bacterial small subunit ribosomal RNA", at positions 524 to 776 of the family's 1533-position model. The record is from RNAcentral.
UACGUAGGGUCCGAGCGUUGUCCGGAAUUACUGGGCGUAAAGGGCGCGUAGGCGGUCCGACAAGUCGGGAGUGAAAGCCCGGGGCUCAACCCCGGGACUGCUUUCGAAACUGUCGAACUUGAGUGCAGAAGAGGCAACUGGAAUUCCCAGUGUAGCGGUGAAAUGCGUAGAUAUUGGGAAGAACACCUGAGGCGAAGGCGGGUUGCUGGGCUGACACUGACGCUGAGGCGCGAAAGCCAGGGGAGCGAACGGG